GACGAACGCUGGCGGCGUGCUCAACACAUGCAAGUCGAACGGUGAAGCGCUUUCCUUUUUGGUUGGUGUGGAUGAGUGGCGAACGGGUGAGUAACACGUGAGUAACCUGCCCCCUUCUUCUGGAUAACCGCAUGAAAGUGUGGCUAAUACGGGAUAUUCUGCGCCUGCUGCAUGGUGGGUGUGGGAAAGAUUGUGCCUUUGGGUGUUUUCGGUGGGGGAUGGGCUCGCGGCCUAUCAGCUUGUUGGUGGGGUGAUGGCCUACCAAGGCGGUGACGGGUAGCCGGCCUGAGAGGGUGGACGGUCACACUGGGACUGAGACACGGCCCAGACUCCUACGGGAGGCAGCAGUGGGGAAUAUUGCACAAUGGGCGCAAGCCUGAUGCAGCGACGCCGCGUGAGGGAUGGAGGCCUUCGGGUUGUGAACCUCUUUCGCCAGUGAAGCAGGCCUGCUCCUUGUGGGUGGGUUGACGGUAGCUGGAUAAGAAGCGCCGGCUAACUACGUG
RNAcentral lists this ribosomal RNA (503 nucleotides) under uncultured bacterium. Its description in RNAcentral is "partial 16S ribosomal RNA". It matches the Rfam family "Bacterial small subunit ribosomal RNA", at positions 28 to 507 of the family's 1533-position model. The record is from RNAcentral.